Long non-coding RNA from Molossus molossus (Pallas's mastiff bat), 1415 nucleotides. RefSeq lists it as uncharacterized. NCBI's taxonomy places the organism in Eukaryota, Metazoa, Chordata, Mammalia, Chiroptera, Molossidae. The record is from RefSeq and is a predicted model, not a curated record. The transcript is spliced from 3 exons.
AUCUUGUGCAGCUGAUUUCCCUCCAAAACGCAGAUGGGUCCUGGUGUCUGAAUGAAGGUCUGGCCGUGGUUCUAGGUGUGAGUCUGGAAGAGAUUCUGGCUGCGCUCCCUCUCAAGGGCGCGGACACCUCGGGCUGGGCCACGGUCCUGGCAGUGCUCUGGCUGCAUGGCAACCGUGCGGACGUGAAGUGUGAGUGGGAGCUCCUGGAAAGGAAGGCUGUGGCCUGGCUUCACGCUCAUGCAGGCGCCCACACGCAUGAGCUUGUGAAGGCUGCUAUUGAUUUUCUGAAGUCCUCUGUUGAUCCUGCCGUUUUUGCCCCAUGAGCAUACCCAUCAGCAAUGCAAGUGCCUCUUUUCACGCUACUGUUUUCUCCUUUACACUUUCUUCUGCUGGAAUGUGUUUGUAUUUUACACCCACGCUGACAGUUUCUUGUCAUAAAGGUAAAGGACGUCCACCCUGCCUGGCCUCUGUGUGCCAGGCUCCCUGCGGCUGUGGCUUCCUGUCCCCACAUGUACCCUCAGCCGCGCGGCAUGGCCCCAGAGCCUGCUCCCUCUCUGGAGGGGUUCAAAGGCCCUGAGGUUCCUCCUAGGUUUUUCAGAGUGACAACAUGAAAAGCAAGUGACAACAUGAAAAGCAAGUGACAAGGGCUCCAGACUGGAGAGUGCAGACCGAUGUUCGGGAAUGCCUGAGGGAGGAUGCUCUGCAUUAUUUUGUCUCUUCACUGUGGCUUUAAUAUAUUUGUGAGGACAAAACUGGGGAGCUAGACGGUUUUCUAUCUGAGAUAGGAUGAAGAGUUGGAGGAGAGGUUGAAAACCAACACUGGGAUUAUUAGGACCUCAAGAUGACAAAGAGAGAGGCUCAAGGACCCACUGUGAGAGUUGGCCCUGUGGGGACCUUCUUGAGUGGCUCUGGUUGGGUUUUGCUACCCUACUGCAUUCCUUCCCUCUCGCCGCCUAUAGCUGAGUCAUAUCUGUUGGAGACAGAUGUUUCUUCUUGCUCAGGACACAUCUAGGAAGAAGGAAGUAACGGAAUCCUCAGUCCUAACCAGAACCGUGCGACCUCUGGACCAGGCUCUGUUGGUAGGCUAUGAGAAAAGCAAAUGUAGAGGCAGCUUUGCCUGAGACCUGAAACCUGGGUCACUCACCCCCAGAGACAGGAAGGAGCUCCCCAUGAUCAUUUCUGACCUUUAUGUCCCACAUACUCAAUCCCAGUGGAAAUGACCCUAUUUGAUGUAUUGUUCCUUAAAGCACUGUUGUAUCAAUAAUAAAAUGACUCUCUCUGCACUGCACUGUGUUGUACCUGAUCUUUUGUAGAUUUAUUCAUUGAACGUGCAUUGGAUUUCUCAUCCCUCAUUUCCCUCCAACUUUUCUGAUGCCUCCAGUGUCCACAUUGUGUCCUGUCCCCAUGUCUCCUGU